Small nucleolar RNA from Prolemur simus (greater bamboo lemur), 198 nucleotides. Its record names the gene SNORA73. It matches the Rfam family "Small nucleolar RNA SNORA73 family". Rfam says of the family: U17 (SNORA73A and SNORA73B) also known as E1 belongs to the H/ACA class of small nucleolar RNAs (snoRNAs). Vertebrate U17 is intron-encoded and ranges in length from 200-230 nucleotides, longer than most snoRNAs. It is one of the most abundant snoRNAs in human cells and is essential for the cleavage of pre-rRNA within the 5' external transcribed spacer (ETS). NCBI's taxonomy places the organism in Eukaryota, Metazoa, Chordata, Mammalia, Primates, Lemuridae. The record is from Ensembl.
CCAACGUGGGUAUACUCAGGCGGUCACUCUCCCAGGCCGUGUCCAAGUGGCAUGGGGGAGCACAGGGCUCUGCCCCAUGGUGUACGUCCCCUUUCCACAACGUGGUGGCAAAGUGGGCCUGGAGUCUGUGCCUGCAGGUUCCUGCAGCUGCUGAGUCCUGUGGGCGUGACCGAGGGGCAAGCCCCGCAGGAAACAGCC